Molecule: ribosomal RNA, 511 nt
Filed under: uncultured delta proteobacterium
Lineage: Bacteria; Deltaproteobacteria
Description: bacterial SSU rRNA
Rfam family: Bacterial small subunit ribosomal RNA
Source: RNAcentral
CUAUGCGCCUUGCCCAGCCCCGCUCAGAAACUUAAAGGAAUUGACGGGGGCCCGCACAAGCGGUGGAGCAUGUGGUUCAAUUCGACGCAACGCGAAGAACCUUACCUGGGCUAGACAACAGUGGACCGUCCUAGAGAUAGGAUUUCCCUUCGGGGACCGCUGGUUCAGGUGCUGCAUGGCUGUCGUCAGCUCGUGCCGUGAGGUGUUGGGUUAAGUCCCGCAACGAGCGCAACCCUCGUACUUAGUUGCCACCAUUCAGUUGGGCACUCUAGGUAGACUGCCGGCGUUAAGCCGGAGGAAGGUGGGGACGACGUCAAGUCAUCAUGGCCCUUAUGCCCAGGGCCACACACGUGCUACAAUGGGCGGCACAAAGGGUCGCGAACCCGCGAGGGGGAGCCAAUCCCAAAAAGCCGUUCUCAGUUCGGAUUGGAGUCUGCAACUCGACUCCAUGAAGUUGGAAUCGCUAGUAAUCGCGGAUCAGCACGCCGCGGUGAAUACGUUCCCGGGCCUU